AGGAUUACGCUUGCCCCGGCUUGCCCUCAUCUACAAUGAUGCCAAUUGUGCUACAUUCAUCAACAUAAUAGCUUCCUCAUGUCAAGGACGGUCAAGCAAUCCGCAAUUACACUUAAAGAUAUGUGAGAUGAGAUUGAGAAGCCCCCAGGGCCUAAGAGAUUCCUCCGUAAAAGGUGGAAGAUGCUGAUUUGCCCUGCAACACAGGAACUUCAGAAGCUGACACUGGAACAGCUUGUAAACCAGGGUGACGCAUCGAUUUUGUUACUUGGGUAUAUGUGAGGGGCCUUAUAUUUAUCGGGCACACAUAUAUGCAAUAAACAUAGAUAAUGUCA
Ornithodoros turicata is the source of this 332-nucleotide long non-coding RNA. RefSeq lists it as uncharacterized. NCBI's taxonomy places the organism in Eukaryota, Metazoa, Arthropoda, Arachnida, Ixodida, Argasidae. The record is from RefSeq and is a predicted model, not a curated record. The transcript has 2 exons.